Molecule: ribosomal RNA, 253 nt
Filed under: uncultured bacterium
Lineage: Bacteria
Description: partial 16S ribosomal RNA
Rfam family: Bacterial small subunit ribosomal RNA
Source: RNAcentral
UACAGAGGGGGCAAGCGUUGUUCGGAAUUACUGGGCGUAAAGGGCGCGUAGGUGGCCUUCUAAGUUGAACGUGAAAUCCCUGGGCUCAACCCAGGAACUGCGUCCAAGACUGGGAGGCUUGAAUCCGGGAGAGGGAUGCGGAAUUCCAGGUGUAGCGGUGAAAUGCGUAGAUAUCAGGAGGAACACCGGUGGCGAAGGCGGCCCUCUGGACGGAUACUGACGCUGAGGCGCGAAAGCGUGGGGAUCAAACAGG